CCUGUGAGCUGGGCGAUCGCUGUUGUGAAGGUCUUCGGACUAAAGCAAGGGAGGAAAGUCCGGGCUUCAUAGGGCAAGGUGCUAGGUAACGCCUAGGCGGCGUAAGCCGACGGAAAGUGCAGCAGAGAGUAGACCGCCGAUGUACGCAAGUGCAGGUAAGGGUGAAAGGGUGUGGUAAGAGCACACCGCAUGACUGGCAACAGGACAUGGCAUGGUAAACCCCACUAGAAGCAAGACCAAAUAGAAAUCCGAUGGUGUGACCCGCACUGGAUUUGGGUAGGUUGCUGGAGCGUAUGAGUGAUUGUACGCCUAGAUGAAUGAUCGUCCUAGACAGAACCCGGCUUAUAGGCUCACAUAUUUU
This 361-nucleotide RNase P RNA is filed under the name Acinetobacter sp. Its description in RNAcentral is "RNase P RNA component class A". It matches the Rfam family "Bacterial RNase P class A". From Rfam's summary of the family: Ribonuclease P (RNase P) is a ubiquitous endoribonuclease, found in archaea, bacteria and eukarya as well as chloroplasts and mitochondria. Its best characterised activity is the generation of mature 5'-ends of tRNAs by cleaving the 5'-leader elements of precursor-tRNAs. The record is from RNAcentral. Lineage: Bacteria; Pseudomonadati; Pseudomonadota; Gammaproteobacteria; Moraxellales; Moraxellaceae.